Molecule: ribosomal RNA, 772 nt
Filed under: uncultured bacterium
Lineage: Bacteria
Description: bacterial SSU rRNA
Rfam family: Bacterial small subunit ribosomal RNA
Source: RNAcentral
AGAGUUUGAUCCUGGCUCAGAACGAACGCUGGCGGCGUGUCUUAAGCAUGCAAGUCGGGCGGCAAGGGCCAGCAAUGGCCCCUAGAGCGGCGGACUGGUGAGUAACACGUGGGUGAUCUACCCCGGGGUUGGGGAUAGCCAUUAGAAAUAGUGGGUAAUACCGAAUACGCUCCAUUGGCUGCGGCCAGUGGAGGAAAGGCGCCACGGCGCCGACCUGGGAUGAGCCCGCGUCCCAUUAGCUAGUUGGUGAGGUAACGGCCCACCAAGGCGAUGAUGGGUAGGCGGCCUGAGAGGAUGUACGCCCACAUUGGGACUGAGAUACGGCCCAAACUCCUACGGGAGGCAGCAGCUAAGAAUAUUCCGCAAUGGGCGAAAGCCUGACGGAGCGACGCCGCGUGGAUGAUGAAGGCCGGAAGGUUGUAAAAUCCUUUUGUCGGGGAAGAAUAAGCGUGGGAGGGAAUGCCCGCGUGAUGACAUGAACCGGCGAAUAAGCCCCGGCUAACUACGUGCCAGCAGCCGCGGUAACACGUAGGGGGCGAGCGUUGUUCGGAAUUACUGGGCGUAAAGGGCAUGUAGGCGGUUCUGUAAGCCUGACGUGAAAGGCUAUGGCUCAACCAUGGCACUGCGUUGGGAACUGCGGGACUUGAAUCACGGAGAGGGAGCUGGAAUUCCAGGUGUAGGGGUGAAAUCUGUAGAUAUCUGGAAGAACACCGGUGGCGAAGGCGAGCUCCUGGCCGAUGAUUGACGCUGAGGUGCGAAAGUGUGGGGAUCA